RNAcentral lists this ribosomal RNA (361 nucleotides) under uncultured bacterium. RNAcentral describes it as "bacterial SSU rRNA". It matches the Rfam family "Bacterial small subunit ribosomal RNA", at positions 29 to 416 of the family's 1533-position model. The record is from RNAcentral.
AGCGAACGCUGGCGGCAGGCUUAACACAUGCAAGUCGAGCGGGCGUAGCAAUACGUCAGCGGCAGACGGGUGAGUAACGCGUGGGAACAUACCUUUUGGUUCGGAACAACACAGGGAAACUUGUGCUAAUACCGGAUAAGCCCUUACGGGGAAAGAUUUAUCGCCGAAAGAUUGGCCCGCGUCUGAUUAGCUAGUUGGUGAGGUAAUGGCUCACCAAGGCGACGAUCAGUAGCNGGUCUGAGAGGAUGAUCAGCCACAUUGGACUGAGACACGGCCCAAACUCCUACGGGAGGCAGCAGUGGGGAAUAUUGGACAAUGGGCGAAAGCCUGAUGCAGCGACGCCGCGUGAGGGAUGACGGCC